CCGGUUGAUCCCGCCGGACCCGACUGCUAUCAGAGUGGGACUAAGCCAUGCGAGUCGACACAGCAAUGUGUGGCAUACGGCUCAGUAACACGUAGUCAACAUGCCCAGGGGACGUGGAUAACCUCGGGAAACUGAGGAUAAACCGCGAUAGGUCACUACUUCUGGAAUGGGUAAUGACCCAAACCUAUAUGGCCCCUGGAUUGGACUGCGGCCGAUCAGGCUGUUGGUGAGGUAAUGGCCCACCAAACCUGUAACCGGUACGGGCUCUGAGAGGAGGAGCCCGGAGAUGGGCACUGAGACAAGGGCCCAGGCCCUAUGGGGCGCAGCAGGCGCGAAACCUCUGCAAUAGGCGAAAGCUUGACAGGGUUACUCUGAGUGAUUUCCGUUAAGGAGAUCUUUUGGCACCUCUAAAAAUGGUGCAGAAUAAGGGGUGGGCAAGUCUGGUGUCGGCCGCCGCGGUAAUACCAGCACCCCGAGUGGUCGGGACGUUUAUUGGGCCUAAAGCAUCCGUAGCCGGUUCUACAAGUCUUCCGUUAAAUCCACCUGCUCAACAGAUGGGCUGCGGAAGAUACUAUGGAGCUAGGAGGCGGGAGAGGCAAGCGGUACUCGAUGGGUAGGGGUAAAAUCCGUUGAUUCAUUGAAGACCACCAGUGGCGAAGGCGGCUUGCCAGAACGCGCUCGACGGUGAGGGAUGAAAGCUGGGGGAGCAAACCGGAUUAGAUACCCGGGUAGUCCCAGCUGUAAACGAUGC
RNAcentral lists this ribosomal RNA (751 nucleotides) under uncultured archaeon. Its description in RNAcentral is "bacterial SSU rRNA". It matches the Rfam family "Archaeal small subunit ribosomal RNA", at positions 4 to 763 of the family's 1478-position model. The record is from RNAcentral.